GAUGAACGCUAGCUACAGGCUUAACACAUGCAAGUCGAGGGGUAACGAGAGGAAAGCUUGCUUUCCUUGUCGACGACCGGCGCACGGGUGAGUAGCGCGUAUCCAACCUGCCCCCAACUAGGGAAUAACCUUGCGAAAGUAAGACUAAUACCCUAUAAUUUCCUCAGAUGUCAUCUGACGAGGAAUAAAGAUUUAUCGGUUGUGGAUGGGGAUGCGUCUGAUUAGCUUGUUGGCGGGGUAACGGCCCACCAAGGCAACGAUCAGUAGGGGUUCUGAGAGGAAGGUCCCCCACAUUGGAACUGAGACACGGUCCAAACUCCUACGGGAGGCAGCAGUGAGGAAUAUUGGUCAAUGGGCGGAAGCCUGGACCAGCCAAGUAGCGUGCAGGAUGACGGCCCUAUGGGUUAUAAACUGCUUUUAUACAGGAAUAAAGUUGGCCACGUGUGGUUAUUUGUAGGUACUGUAUGAAUAAGGACCGGCUAAUUCCGUGCCAGCAGCCGCAGUAA
RNAcentral lists this ribosomal RNA (506 nucleotides) under uncultured bacterium. Its description in RNAcentral is "partial 16S ribosomal RNA". It matches the Rfam family "Bacterial small subunit ribosomal RNA", at positions 28 to 523 of the family's 1533-position model. The record is from RNAcentral.